UAGCCCUCAACAAGUACAAACAAGUACACACAUGCAGUGUGUAUUUUCAGACCACAAUGCUAUAAAACUUGAAAUCAACCACAAGAAAAAACUUGGAAAAACCAUGAAUACUUAGAGAUUAAAGAAGAUCCUACUAAAGAAUGAAUGGGCUAAGUCGAGAAAUUAAAGAGGAAAUUAAA
This is a long non-coding RNA of Herpailurus yagouaroundi (jaguarundi), 179 nucleotides long. RefSeq lists it as uncharacterized. The record is from RefSeq and is a predicted model, not a curated record. The transcript is spliced from 3 exons. Lineage: Eukaryota; Metazoa; Chordata; Mammalia; Carnivora; Felidae.